RNAcentral lists this ribosomal RNA (410 nucleotides) under uncultured Flavobacteriia bacterium. RNAcentral's name for it is "bacterial SSU rRNA". It matches the Rfam family "Bacterial small subunit ribosomal RNA", at positions 370 to 779 of the family's 1533-position model. The record is from RNAcentral. Lineage: Bacteria; Pseudomonadati; Bacteroidota; Flavobacteriia.
AAUGGACGAAAGUCUGAUCCAGCUAUGCCGCGUGCAGGAUGACGGCCUAUGGGUUGUAAACUGCUUUUAUACAGGAAGAAACCUUCGACGUGUCGAAGCUUGACGGUACUGUAAGAAUAAGGAUCGGCUAACUCCGUGCCAGCAGCCGCGGUAAUACGGAGGAUCCAAGCGUUAUCCGGAAUCAUUGGGUUUAAAGGGUCCGCAGGCGGUUUUUUAAGUCAGAGGUGAAAUCCUGCAGCUCAACUGUAGAAUUGCCUUUGAUACUGAAAGACUUGAGUUAUUGUGAAGUGGUUAGAAUGUGUGGUGUAGCGGUGAAAUGCAUAGAUAUCACACAGAAUACCAAUUGCGAAGGCAGAUCACUAACAAUAUACUGACGCUCAGGGACGAAAGCGUGGGUAGCGAACAGGAUU